Molecule: long non-coding RNA, 1981 nt
Organism: Salvelinus fontinalis (brook trout)
Lineage: Eukaryota; Metazoa; Chordata; Actinopteri; Salmoniformes; Salmonidae
Exons: 5
Source: RefSeq, a predicted model, not a curated record
AGAUAUUGUUAUAAGGGAGUGUGAGACUAUUGAAACAUGUAACUUUCAGAGUUGUAUUGUUGUUAUUUAGAUAGUUUACAGAGUGUUAAAAGUGUUGCUGUUGCUAGCUAGCAUGCCUUUCUGGGAUGCAGACGGUUAGCUGAGUGGUGCUGGCGUUGCAUUAUGGGAGAUGUAGUUUGGUCCUCUACGGUAUGAAUGGAAUAGAGGCGAUUUCACGUUGUAACUUGUUUGUGUUGCAGUGUUUUUUGUACAUGAGUUGUUGUAUUUUGGUACUGUCAACACUGAAAGCACCUAGCAAUGUAUUGGGGAUGUGAGACAUGUGUUUUACCUUUCUUCAGGCUCCUGUGUAGAACAACUUGUCAGAUGGGGCGUUGGAGACUGAUGUGUUCCUGUCCUGUCUUUUCACAAUACUAUUGCAGAUCAACAUAAAAGCCUAAAAGACAGCCGUGGUGUCGCUCUUCAUUUCUUGGUUCUCCUGUGGUACAUAAGAAACCCGCUACACGUAGCUAGCUACACCUAGCUAUCUAACUACACCUGUCCUUGCAGAAACCUUCUUGUUCACAUAUUCACAAUAUGUUCAAGGCAGCACUGCAAACAUUGACCUUGUGCAGUAGUUAUCUAGCCAAUAUCUAACAGCCAAACUAGCUAAAUUAAAUAAUUGGGCUGGCUAGUAAGAUAGAUAACAAGCAGCUCUUCCAAGUCAGCUUGGAUUUCCGUUUUUUUAGCUAGCUAGCUAUCUAAAGCUGAAGUCAUUUGAGUUAUUUUCCUGACAUUGUCAUAGAUUUUAAUACAACUUCUCUUCUUUAGGUAUAGGUGUUCAGACGUUCCUGAGUACUGGACAGACCAUAUUUUCCAGAAUACAUUAACAAGAAGGAGAUAGCAUAUAUGGGGGUAGCCUAGAGCGUUGGGCCAUUAUCCAAAAGGUUGCUGGAUCGAAUCCCCGAGCUGACAAGGGAUCAUGCUGCAUUCAGGUACAAAUACGUGACAUCCACAACAUUGUGAGUGCCAAAAUGGCAAAGACCUUCUCAUAUUGAAGACAAGAUGUCGUUCAGGUCCUUCCUGUGAAGGACUUCAAAGAAUAAUGGCCAGCCCUGUUUGAGCCCACUCAGGAAGCAAAUUUGGCAAUGAUUGGGCGUUCAUACCUCUGCCCUCUGUCUGAAGCAGUGUACACGUUCGAGUUGGAUUUUGUCGAUAGCUUGGCGUGGAAUCUGAAGCGCUGUAAGGAGGAACUCUGUAACUACAGAUUCAGGAACUUCUCCUUCUUUCUCUUGGAUACCUGAACAUGCCAAGGAGUGUGGAGGAGCAUCGCAGAUCUACCCGUCUGUCUCUUUCUUCCUCACCUGUCUCACUGCCUCCACACUGGUCUUCCAUGACAGCUAUCUAGCCUGAACCCCGCCCCCCUCUGAUUCGUAAUCUCCCUGGAAUGUUCCAGAAUGCCUGAACUUAGCAUGCCUGCUGCAUUAUCUUUAUUAUUUUUUAUGACUAUAUGACUUAAGUUAUGAUAUUGUUCAUUUUGGCUGAUGGCCUGAGAGCUGUUGACUGACUCCAUGCUUGAUAACUUUACAAUCACAGAGAGCUGUUGACUGACUCCAUGCUUGAUAAUUUUACAAUCACAGAGAGCUGUUGACUUCAGAUGCUCGAUGACUUUCAACCACCAAAGUUGUGCUUCUUUGGACAACUGUUCUAAAACCAUGAAAGGGCUUUUUGGUUUCUUCUUCUUCAGUGUCUUAUAACAGAACAUUGGUUGAAGGAACAACGUUACAAUGUGAUGGACUACUAGGUGAAACAGCCACUCAAAACUCCAAAGAUAGUAUUUUCUUCAAGGCUUUUGUUUUUAUUUCUGUAAUAUUUCAGGGAAAUGUAAAGACAAGGUCCUGGACAGUAACAGGAUUAUAGUCUUUCUGUCUGAGACACUGUCAUCAUAGAGAUCUAGUAGUUUAUUUAGAUUAGGGUUGGGGUCAAUUCCUUUACAAUUCAGGAA